Molecule: ribosomal RNA, 1165 nt
Filed under: uncultured Flavobacteriaceae bacterium
Lineage: Bacteria; Pseudomonadati; Bacteroidota; Flavobacteriia; Flavobacteriales; Flavobacteriaceae
Description: bacterial SSU rRNA
Rfam family: Bacterial small subunit ribosomal RNA
Source: RNAcentral
AUUGGACAAUGGAGGCACUCUGAUCCAGCCAUGCCGCGUGAAGGAAGACGGCCUUAUGGGUUGUAAACUUCUUUUAUACAGGAAGAAACCUUUCCACGUGUGGAAAGUUGACGGUACUGUAAGAAUAAGGAUCGGCUAACUCCGUGCCAGCAGCCGCGGUAAUACGGAGGAUCCAAGCGUUAUCCGGAAUUAUUGGGUUUAAAGGGUCCGCAGGCUGUUUGUUAAGUCAGAGGUGAAAUCCUACCGCUCAACGGUAGAACUGCCUUUGAUACUGGCAAACUUGAGUUAUUGUGAAGUAGUUAGAAUGUGUAGUGUAGCGGUGAAAUGCAUAGAUAUUACACAGAAUACCGAUUGCGAAAGCAGAUUACUAACAAUAUACUGACGCUGAGGGACGAAAGCGUGGGUAGCGAACAGGAUUAGAUACCCUGGUAGUCCACGCCGUAAACGAUGGUCACUAGCUGUUCGAUGUACAUUGGUACGUUGAGUGGCUAAGCGAAAGUGAUAAGUGACCCACCUGGGGAGUACGCUCGCAAGAGUGAAACUCAAAGGAAUUGACGGGGGCCCGCACAAGCGGUGGAGCAUGUGGUUUAAUUCGAUGAUACGCGAGGAACCUUACCAGGACUUAAAUGUAAGUUGCAUGAUUCAGAAAUGAAUCUUUCUUCGGACUACUUACAAGGUGCUGCAUGGUUGUCGUCAGCUCGUGCCGUGAGGUGUCAGGUUAAGUCCUAUAACGAGCGCAACCCCUAUCGUUAGUUGCCAUCAAGUAAAGUUGGGAACUCUAGCGAAACUGCCGGUGCAAACCGAGAGGAAGGUGGGGAUGACGUCAAAUCAUCACGGCCCUUACGUUCUGGGCUACACACGUGCUACAAUGGUCGGUACAGAAAGCAGCCACUAUGCGAAUAGGAGCUAAUCUUUAAAACCGAUCUCAGUUCGGAUCGCAGUCUGCAACUCGACUGCGUGAAGCUGGAAUCGCUAGUAAUCGGAUAUCAGCCAUGAUCCGGUGAAUACGUUCCCGGGCCUUGUACACACCGCCCGUCAAGCCAUGGAAGCUGGGGGUACCUAAAGUCGGUGACCGAAAGGAGCUGCCUAGGGUAAAACUAGUGACUGGGGCUAAGUCGUAACAAGGUAGCCGUACCGGAAGGUGCGGCUGGAAUACCUCCUUUCU